Long non-coding RNA from Oreochromis aureus, 1285 nucleotides. Lineage: Eukaryota; Metazoa; Chordata; Actinopteri; Cichliformes; Cichlidae. The record is from Ensembl.
GUUUUGAUACGUGAGAGAUUUGUGAUGUUUAUCAUGUUUGGAGUCUCAAGUUAGUGUGUUUUCUUGUGUAGUUAGUGUGUAGUGUAGUCGUUUUGUUUUGCGUGUCAGUUCUACUAGUGAACGUCACAGUUGCUGCAACUGUGUGCUGGAAAAGCUUAAAAAGGGACCUUGAAAGUGCUUAAAAAGUGCUUGAAUUUGACCCUGAAGAAAGCGUACGAACCCUGGAUUAUGGAUUCACUGUGAUUCACGUAUUUAAAUGUAUGGCAGCAUACACAAAUCCUGACAGGAGUAACCUUCUCCACAUUGGAGAAGGUUGGAGUGGGCCAGUUGGAGUCGCGGCUACACCAGCUGCUAUGAUGAGAGCGGACCACAGAGACUUCAAAAAGAAUGGCAGGGCUGUGAUCUGCGGGAUCCCUGGCACCCCUGCGAAACAUCAGCCAUCAUCGGCUGGGGCUUUUAAGGAGCUGUGCAGAAGAUGUCUGGUGUCGGAGUAUUGUUUCAUCGCAAGUGCCAGCCUUGCUUCUCUGAUCAGCCCCAUGUCCUCUAAGGAUCAUCUCCAUCUGGACUCCAACUUUUCUCCUUUACCUUUGCCACAGCCUGCCUGCACUCAACCCUCCUCAGACCUUUGGCUCCUCAUCGCCCCCAGUAAUCAGUUCGUGACAAUUUCACCAACUGGAUAGGUGGGGCAAUAAUUCACUUCUCCACCUCUUCAGAAGGUAGAGGGCUACAGGGGUGGCUGUAGCUCAGGUGGUAGAGCAGGUCAUCUGCUAAUUGGAAGGUUGGUUGUUCCAUCCCUGGCUGCUCCAGUCUACUUGACACAUAUCCUUGUGUCCUUGUGCAAGAUGAUGCAGGAGGAUAUUUGUGGCAUCAGCUGAGUAAAGAUGGAGCAGUGAGUCACCAGGCUGGGCAGGUGCAAUUGAGCUGAUGAUGACCUUGAUGGUACUUUGGUCCUGGAUGUCCGGCAUUGACUCCAAGUUGGUGAAUUUAUUCUCAAACUCUGCAUCCAUGAACUAAAGCCCGAAGUCCCCAUUAACUGCACACUGUCCCUUUAUCUGCUGAACAAGUUCCCUGAUAGACUUUGAUCUUUCCAAAUGGGAUGCCAAUCUCCACGAAUCAUUUUCACCAAGAAUGAUUCUGAGUUUCACCACAGCAGCCAUUUCACAACAGCCUAAGAGAAGAAAUUAAGACGUUAACUGUUGUACAAGAGCAAAUCUGAUUUCAGCAAAGCAAUUAGAACAGAAAUAUGUAAUGAUGUCUCAAUUUAAAUGACUGUGAAAUAAAAAAU